GACGAACGCUGGCGGCGUGCUUAACACAUGCAAGUCGAACGGUGAAGCGCCUUCCUUUUUGGUGGGUGUGGAUGAGUGGCGAACGGGUGAGUAACACGUGAGUAACCUGCCCCCUUCUUCUGGAUAACCGCAUGAAAGUGUGGCUAAUACGGGAUAUUCUGGGUCUGUCGCAUGAUGGGUCUGGGAAAGAUAUUGUUUUGGUGGGGGAUGGGCUCGCGGCCUAUCAGCUUGUUGGUGGGGUGAUGGCCUACCAAGGCGGUGACGGGUAGCCGGCCUGAGAGGGUGGGCGGUCACACUGGGGAUGGGGCACGGGCCAGACUCCUACGGGAGGCAGCAGUGGGGAAUAGUGGACAAUGGGGGGAAGGCUGAUGCAGCGACGCCGCGGGAGGGAUGGAGGCCUUCGGGUUGUGAACCUCUUUCGCCAGUGAAGCAGGCCUGCCUCGUUUGUGGGUGGGUUGACGGUAGCUGGAUAAGAAGCGCCGGCUAACUACGUG
RNAcentral lists this ribosomal RNA (494 nucleotides) under uncultured bacterium. Its description in RNAcentral is "partial 16S ribosomal RNA". It matches the Rfam family "Bacterial small subunit ribosomal RNA", at positions 28 to 507 of the family's 1533-position model. The record is from RNAcentral.